UAAGCCGGUCAUAGCGGCAGGGUGCGACCCGGUCCCAUUCCGAACCCGGAAGUCAAACCUGCCGUCGCUGCUGUGUUACUGAUCUGCGUGAGCGGUCGGGAAGCAGCAGUGCUGGCAUCU
Candidatus Nitrososphaera sp. 13_1_40CM_48_12 is the source of this 120-nucleotide non-coding RNA. Lineage: Archaea; Thermoproteati; Nitrososphaerota; Nitrososphaeria; Nitrososphaerales; Nitrososphaeraceae. The record is from Rfam.